RNAcentral lists this ribosomal RNA (490 nucleotides) under uncultured bacterium. RNAcentral describes it as "partial 16S ribosomal RNA". It matches the Rfam family "Bacterial small subunit ribosomal RNA", at positions 28 to 507 of the family's 1533-position model. The record is from RNAcentral.
GAUGAACGCUAGCGGCAGGCCUAAUACAUGCAAGUCGAACGGGAACACGAUCAAAGUUUGCUUUGGUCUGGUGAGAGUGGCGCACGGGUGCGUAACGCGUGAGCAACCUACCCUUGUCAGGGGGAUAGCCCGGCGAAAGUCGGAUUAAUAACGCAUGACAUCAUUGAGAGGCAUAUUUCGAUGAUCAAAGUUUUAUCGGACUAGGAUGGGCGCGCGUGACAUUGUCUGGUUGGUAAGGUAACGGCUUACCAAGGCUGCGAUGUCUAGGGGCUCUGGGAGGGGAACCCCCCACACUGGAACGGAGACACGGACCAGACGCCUACGGGAGGGAGCAGUAAGGAACAUUGGUCAAGGGAGGGAAGUCUGAACCAGCCAUGCGGGGUGCAGAAAGACUGCCCUAUGGGUAGUAAACUGCUUUGAUACAGGAACAAUCGUCGGUACGUGGACCGGUCUGAGUGUACCGUAAGAAUAAGGAUCGGCUAACUCCGUG